Molecule: ribosomal RNA, 253 nt
Filed under: uncultured bacterium
Lineage: Bacteria
Description: partial 16S ribosomal RNA
Rfam family: Bacterial small subunit ribosomal RNA
Source: RNAcentral
UACGUAGGGUGCGAGCGUUGUCCGGAAUUAUUGGGCGUAAAGAGCUCGUAGGCGGUUUGUCGCGUCGACUGUGAAAACCUACAGCUUAACUGUGGGCUUGCAGUCGAUACGGGCAGACUUGAGUUCGGUAGGGGAGACUGGAAUUCCUGGUGUAGCGGUGAAAUGCGCAGAUAUCAGGAGGAACACCAGUGGCGAAGGCGGCGAUCUGGGAAGAUACUGACGCUGAGGUGCGAAAGCGUGGGGAGCAAACAGG